CCAAGUAAUGAUAUUUGUCUUAUAUUAUCUUCAAAAAUAUACUUGUAUGAUUAGGCCACAGUGACACCAACUUGUACUUUUCUCAGGAUUUCUCCGUCGACAAAAUCUGGCUACAUGAGAAGUACAGUGCAUACGGCUUCCUCGACAACGACAUCGCCCUCAUCAAGAUCAAACGGAAGAGAGGACAUGGACUGAGGUUUGGCCCGAGGGUGAAGCCCAUCUGUCUCCCUGACGCCCGUGACUCCUACGAUGACCUGCAGGGAUGUGUGGUGAUGGGAUGGGGCGAACAGAUCUUUGUACCUGAGCGUCCCUUCCGGCCAUCCCCACGAGUGUUGCACUUCACUCCCACCAUCGUCGUAGACCGCACGUGUCAGCUGCUGGCUGGGGCUAAGAACUAUUCGUCGUCCAAUGCAUGCUUCAGGGCAGUGACCUCGAGUUCGUCCGUGUGCCGUGGGGACUCUGGAGGUCCUCUGGCCUGCAUGGUGGAUGGUAAAAUCACUCUCUAUGGCGUGGUGUCCAGGGGUGUAUUAUGCGUCCAGCCCAAUAACCUUCCACAGAUAUACACUCGAGUAACAAAGUAUAUUCGUUGGAUUCUGGAGAAAAUUGCUGCUGAAGAGUAAUAACCCAACCCUAUAUAUUCUUACUACCAAAGAUAGAUAUCAACAUAGGAGUUUGAAUAUCUAUGUUGAUGUAAUGAGGAGGAUGAUAAAGGAGCAACUGAAAAAUUUAUGAAUGAUGGGAACCUGGAAGUCUUGGCUUUAAAGGGAGGGAGAAGAAAAACGCUGAUGGGAACAAGUGUAGACCAUAAAGUGAACAUUGAAGGAAGAAGAACAGAGUGGCAGUGCUGUUGACUGAUGGAGUACAAGUAUGUGUUAUUUAAAAUGAGAUUUGACAAAAGGAUGAAUAAGUGAAGUGCAUACUCGUAGAUGUUCCAAAGAAAAAGGAAAGAAAGUGGUUUAGGCAAGGAAUGAAUAGCUGAAUUUAAUGUUUGAAUUUGAGGGAUAAAGUGAUAUCGAGUAUGACAGCGAAAUGGACGUGAUUUGGGAUAGACAGGACAUUCAAGAAAAGAAUGGAAAGACUGAUAGAAAUGCACUGUAUGCUGACUACUGAGAGAUAAUUAAUAAUAAGUGUGGAUAUUUAAAGGGAAGGAAAUUGAUAAGUACAGUAUGUGAAUACAUCGACCACUGAUUAGUACAGGGUCCGGCAGAGAAACUUCACGGUUUUUAAAAACGGGCUGUGCUCGAAAUCGUUGGAGUGGGGGAAGCGACAUUGAACGCACGUGCAGUUUAACUGAACUGACCGGAAACAACAUGAGGGAGGGAGUGGCAGCAAUACCUCUCGAAAUGGCACAUCGAGUAAUGGGGAAUUUUCGCUCCCAACUGCAAAAAUGUGUAAAUAACAAUGGACACCAUCUCACUGAUGUAAUUUUUAAGAAGUGAAGCUUGUACAUAAAAUGUUUUGGUUAAUUUGGGUUUAAAAAUUUUGGGUAAUUUAUAUAUAUAUAUAUAUAUAUAUAACCGUCAGCUGGUGUUUCUCUUCCGGACCCUGUGUAUUAAAAUCAAUCUGUAGCCCUAAAUCAUUGAGUUACUUCGAAUCUUAUGGUAUCCUAUAAAUAAUGUAAAUACUGUAGUUGUGUACUGAGCUAUCUUCCUGUUUGGGGGCACUUUGUGAUGUGUGUGUGUGUGUGUGUUUUGUGCAUGUAUGCGUGUGCUCUGCGCAUACCCCUCCAGGUCAGGGCCUGGUUAAGAUUAGGGGGGGGGUCUUUAUGCCAAGAGCUUUAGGGGGGGGGCAGGGCUCAUGUAUUCACUAUCAACUGUAUAAUUUCUUUAGAUCUUAGUAAAUUAAAAUACGAUUGGAAUUUAUCUCCAAGAGGCAUUUAUUUAUAAUUUAUAAUUCUGCACAAGAUGAUAUUGUAGGGGUAUCGAGAUAUGAUGUUGUCUAGCACUCA
Homarus americanus (American lobster) is the source of this 1948-nucleotide long non-coding RNA. RefSeq lists it as uncharacterized. The record is from RefSeq and is a predicted model, not a curated record. The transcript is spliced from 3 exons. NCBI's taxonomy places the organism in Eukaryota, Metazoa, Arthropoda, Malacostraca, Decapoda, Nephropidae.